CCCUUAGAUGUUCUGGGCCGCACGCGCGUUACAAUGACGGAGGCAACGAGCCCAUCCUGCGCCGAAAGGUGUGGGUAAUCUUGUAAACUCUGUCGUGCUGGGGAUCGGUCUUUGCAAUUAUGGACCGUGAACGAGGAAUGCCUAGUAAGCGCAAGUCAUCAGCUUGUGUUGAUUACGUCCCUGCCCUUUGUACACACCGCCCGUCGCUCCUACCGAUUGAACGAUUCGGUGAAAUCUCGGGAGGGACCGUGGUAGAGGCUCCGGCCCCAAGCCACGGACCCAAACCUGAUUAAACCUCAUCGUUUAGAGGAAGGAGAAGUCGUAACA
RNAcentral lists this ribosomal RNA (327 nucleotides) under uncultured eukaryote. RNAcentral describes it as "partial 18S ribosomal RNA". It matches the Rfam family "Eukaryotic small subunit ribosomal RNA", at positions 1470 to 1796 of the family's 1831-position model. The record is from RNAcentral.